UACGGAGGGGGGCUAGCGUUGCUCGGAAUCACUGGGCGUAAAGCGCACGUAGGCGGAUAUUUAAGUCAGGGGUGAAAUCCCAGAGCUCAACUCUGGAACUGCCUUUGAUACUGGGUAUCUUGAGUAUGGAAGAGGUAAGUGGAAUUGCGAGUGUAGAGGUGAAAUUCGUAGAUAUUCGCAGGAACACCAGUGGCGAAGGCGGCUUACUGGUCCAUUACUGACGCUGAGGUGCGAAAGCGUGGGGAGCAAACAGGG
Molecule: ribosomal RNA, 255 nt
Filed under: uncultured bacterium
Lineage: Bacteria
Description: partial 16S ribosomal RNA
Rfam family: Bacterial small subunit ribosomal RNA
Source: RNAcentral